GGAUGAGGAAAGAAGGGGUGAGCAAGGAAAGGAUGAGGCACAGAGAUGGGGUGGGGUGGAAUGAGGAAGGGGGAGGGGAGGAAGGAGGGAUGGACUGGUGUGACAGAGAUGGGUGAGGUGGGGUGAGGGGCCCUGCACCCCUGCUGGCUCCUCAGAUCCGGGGGCUCUCACUCUCCCACCUCCAGACUUGUGGGGCCCAGGCUGUGGGUGGCUCUACUUCUUCCUAUUCCAGUUCUGUCUUUUUUGCCUCCCCCAGCCUUGCCUGUGCCAACACGGAGGCAGAGAGUUUAGUCACCAGCCUUUACCUGGCCCCUGCUAAUGCUAAAGUGUAGGCUUGGACCUUUGAGGGUGUGGGACUAUGCCUUCAAGUGUUGAUGGCAUGGACUCCAUUGUCUGCCUAGUCCAAGGUUUCUGCCCUUUGUCCCAUUGUCCUGGGCCUCAGGUGUUUGUGGUGCUCAGUGUCACAUGGACCAUGACAGUGUGUGGUGCUCAGUGUGGUGUGGACUGAGACAGUGUGGUUCUGGAGUCUAUGGACACUGUGAGCUUACAGGCCACACUCACACCUCAUCUCCUUCUUUGUAAAUGGGGAUCAGCGCCUCAGGGGGUUAUUGAGAGGGUUAAUUAAGGUAAUGCAGGUAGUGCACUUAGUUCUGAGCUGGGCAUGUAGUUUAUACCCAACCAAUGGUUAACUUGGUUGAGUUAAUCAAGUUAACCAUUACUUUUCAUGUUCACAAAUGCUGGGACUUCGAGUGCAUCUAUAAAUCUGAGUCUGAUUGGGAGUUAUUUGUAGUGUAGUACUGGUAAUGUGAUUUAUGAGAGUGGAUCUGUGUAGUUAUUUUUGUGUAGUGGUGUGCCCAAUUCUGUUAUAUGUUGUAGGUAAAUGAUUUUGGGUCAGUGUACAUGUGUGAGUAAAUGACUGUGAGGGCAUGUCUCUACAUGACAGAGUGGAUGAGGUAUGUGGCUGUUGACACGUUGACAUAAUGUCUGCCAGCAUAUGCACACAUCUGCGAUCAUGCCAGUCCCAAACGCCCCCACUCACCCUCCCUCCCCUUGGAGACGUCAUAACCCUAGAUGUCCCUCAUUUCCUCACCCUGAGGGAACCGGAAUCCGUGGGCAGGGGUGGGGGUGGGUGCCAGUGAGGAGGUGUUUUAGACAGAGGCACAUGUUCCCUCCCAGACUGUAUAGGGAAGGGAGCCCCUAUCCUGCUCACAUCUCAAAGGCUGCAGAGGAAGUGCCCCCCAGCCUGUUCUCAGUUCCCUGUCUUGUCACCAUGGUAGCGGUUGCCAGGGGUUCCCAUGGUUGCUAAGAUCUGGGUGUGGGAGGCUGUCAGGCCCUGUUGCCAGUAGAAACAGAGAAUCCUGGGGGAAAGGAAGACUACCCCCACAGUUGCCAGCUCUCUGCAGUGACAGAACUAGCCCUUGGGCCGCUCUCUCCCCAGUUGUACCUAUGAUUUAUAUGUGGUAGUACUAGUGUGUGCGUGGGAACAGGAGCGGGGGUUUUAAUAGGAAACCACAACUAGAAUACUGGAAUACUAGAAUACUGAGGAAAAGGGGGCUCCUUGGCCUACCUGUCACCAUCCUUAAAGUUGGGAGGACCUUACAAAUUAGUGACUACCUCCGUCUCUACUAAAAUACAAAAAAAAAUUAGCCAGGCUUGGUGGCGCAUGCUUGUAAUCUCAGCUACUUGGGAGGCUGAGGCAGGAGAAUUGCUGGAACCCAGGAGAUGGAGGUUGCAGUGAGCUGAGAUUGUGCCACUGCACUCCAUCCUGGGCAACAGGCUAGAGACUCCCUCUCAAAAAAAAAAAAAAAAAAAAGAGUGACUACCUCCUUCUGUCUUCUGUUCCUCAUCUCUCUCUCCUGGGCAGUCUCCCUGCUUAUUCUUGAGUUCUCCAGUGAUUGGGUACUCAUUACCUGAUGCUUUUUCCUGGGUGUAGGAAUGCCAUGUUGAUCCAUUACCUUGGCUGCAGAUGGCCUUCCUCCUGUGAUCAGACUGAGCGUCUCACCUGAUACCUGCUUCAUGCUGACACCCAGGCUCAGACUUUGGUCCCACACUGAGUCCCAACUAUGACUUGAGCCUGAGACACAACCUGGUUAUUGUCCUGGUAGAGACAGUUCCCCAAAUCCAGCCUCUGCCUAAACCCUCCUCCUAGAUAUUGAUGAGCCCUAGUUUUGAUACAAAUACUUAAACUCAUCUUCAGAUUCAGUUAUGAUCCUAUACUGAACUAACUGAACACUACCAGGGAUCUGACUCUGAUACUCACUGGCGUCUGCUUGUGUGUUCUGAACCUAUGCUGACCAGCCCCAAAAGGGUUCAGAGUGAGUGAUUUUUUGCCUUGGGAUGAGAGAGCAAUGUUAGGGAUGACCAGCAGAGGGCGUGCAACAUCAGGUUGUAGAGGCAAGCAUCCAAGAGCCCACCUGUGAACUGAAAAAAAUUCUCGUUUUUAAUGCCAAAACUUUGGGGUUUUGUGGGUCCUUACAGUCAUGAAUCUUUUCCUUCUGGCUCACUUGGGCUCAGCGCUGGGCGUGCACAGAAUGUGCUUAACUGUUUGCUGGCAUCUCAGGUCUCAAGAGGAGUGAAGUGACCCCACCCUCAACUCAGCAUUUCUGUCACACGCUUAAUAAAGCUCCACUGCCUUCCCUGGUAACCAGUUCUGUUUGGUCCUAGAGCAGAAAUCUGCCCUCCACAGUGUUCACAUUUCAUCUUAUCUCUGUCCUUGGGACCACAUUGACCUCAUUGGCCCAUCUGCCAAACGUCACCAUCCGUGUCCUUCAAAUCUGCUUCUCUACAGGACUCAUACCUUCAUGGGUUCAUCCCUUGCAUUUUUCAAUUCUACCCACUAAGAUCAGAUCAUGUUACGCUGAAUGGGUUUCAGUUUGUGGUGCCCAGUUCUGAUGUUUUUUUUUCUGUUGUUUCUUUUUUUUUUUUUCUGAUUAGUUUUUUCCAGGAGAGCUGGUGCAGGGUACAAAUGAGCUGGCCAACCUCCCUCCUCUGACUCUGAACUUCUUUCUACAUAGGCUCAGAUUACAUCAGUUUUUUUUUUUUCUUUUGAGACAGAGUCUCACUCUGUUGCCCAGGCUGGAGUGCAAUGGCACAAUCUGGGUUCACUGCAACCUCUGCCUCCCGGGUUCAAGCGAUUCUCCUGCCUCAGCCCCCUGAGUAGCUGGGACUACAGGUGUGCACCACCGCACCUGGCUAAUUUUUGUAUUUUUAAUAGAGACGGGGUUUCACCAUGUUGGCCAGGCUGGUCUUGAAUUCCAGACUUCAGGUGAUCCACUAGCCUUGGCCUCCCAAAGUGCUGGAUUACAGGCGUGAGCCACCGCGCCCAGCCUGUUUGUUUUUUGGUAGCCACCUCAUACUGUUCACCCAUACUGAGUUAAGACCACAAGCUUGAGGCUGGGCACUGUGGCUCAUGCCUGUAAUCCCAGAACUUUGGGAGGCAGAGGUGGGUGGAUCAUGAGGUAAAGAGAUCGAGACCAUCCUGGCCAACAUGGUGAAACCCCAUCUCUACUAAAAAUACAAAAAAGUAGCUGAACAUGGUGGCACAUGCCUGUAAUCCUAGCUACUUGGGAGGCUGAGACAGGAGAAUCACUUGAACCCAAGAGGCGGAGGUUGUGGUGAGCCGAUAAUGCGCCAUUGCAUUCCAGCCUGGGCAACAAAAGCAAAACUCCAUCUAAAAAAAAAAAAAAAGACCACAAACUCUUUUCUCCCUGAGCUGUUAAAUCACCUCUUGUUUAUCUGUACUUGUUAUAAUUUUGAAUGGAGAGCUAUAUUCAUUUUAAACAAAGAUACUUGAAAUAAAAUUAAAAAAAUUGUUGACAAUACAUUCUCAAUUUUAGGGCAAUCUUUGGGCUUGGAAAUCUCUGAACUUGAUGUUUACUCAAAGGUGGGACAAGGAGGGACUGAAGGUCCUCAGUGGGCUUGGCUGUGACUUCAGCACUUUGGACAGAGCUGAUCAUAGUACCCCCAGCUAUGCCUGGGAUUGUGGGAGGGUGGAGAUUAUACACUCACAGCCUUCAGAUGGAGCAGAAAUCCUUGCUUCUCACUCAGUGUCUUACAGUCUAUAAAGCUCUAUCCUCUUACAAAACUCCUCAAUUACCAGCCCAGGAAGCUGACAGGAUAGGGGCUGUUCUACAAAUUUUACAGUUGAGGAAACUGAGUUUCAGCAAAGUCAACCUCCAGGCAACCCUUAGAAAGGAUGAAGUAGUGGGAUAGAAAGCACUACUCCAUGUUUAGCAAAUUUAGUAGCCAUUGCUUCUCUUAAGGAAUGACUCUCCCCAGGGAUCAAGAGGAAAUGCAUUUCAGCCAGAGCAGGACCAGGUGGAUGUAGGUUUGUAUAAAAUCGAGGCCCCAGCCAGUUGGUGGGAGGAACAGUCCUCAGAGUGUCUAAAGUUCCAGCCAGGACUGCUGAACUGAGGGCAGGGAAACAUUCAUUAGGGCCCACAGACAUCUAGCCUUUAUGACUCUUUUUCUGUCCCAAUGCUUAGCUUCACUGAGCCUGGAGACAAGGACAAGGGGCUGGGAUAACAUUAAGUUGCUCUCAGUCUGAUGGACCCCAUGUGAAAACUCAGGGAGGAGAGGUGUGGGAGCUUGGUGAGUGGACGGGGUGAAUUGUGCAGUGGUAAGAAAUCUGUGCCAUGGCUACAGGCCGGUUACCUGUCUAUGUCUAUUCCCAAGGUGGUGAGGGAGGUGCUGGUCCACAUAGCAGUGGUUCCUUUGAAGUGUGCUUUGACAGGAAGCACAACAAAGUGGCUAAGAACAUGUCCUCUGAAGGCAAACUGCCUGGUUCCCCCACUUCCUGUGUGGUUGUAUAACCUUGAAAAACAUGGGCUCUCUGUUCAUCUUUCUCACCUGUAAUGAAAAUCUCAUAGGGUUAUUGUGAAGAUUAAUGAUUCUAUGCAAAGUACUGCCAAGUGCAUAGUACGUGCUCAAAAAAAUGUUAGAAACUACUUGUACUUGGGAUCCUCUAUGGUUCUGGAGGUAGAAUAUCAGCUUCUGAUCCACAGCCUAGAGAUGCUUUCUCACCUACAGGUGUUGGCUCUCUUCUGACCAGAUAAAAGGGAUGAAGGGGAUCCCAUAGUCCUCUGAGUGCAUCUCCAAUCUUAGUUUUCCCAACCCUAUGAUAUUACAUUAAAGCAAUUUGUCAAAAUGGGGAGGAAACACUCAGACCAGAAUAAAACAGCCAAUGAGUUAUCCUUACUUUUAGCUCAGGAGGAACUGGGAAGUGUCUAAAACUGGCCCUGGGGCCUGGCAUGGGGGAGAGAUAACACAUAGCAGACAGCCUUGGAGACCUUAUGACCUCAUCCUCAAUUUCUCUGAAAGCUCUGGCUCCCUGCUUCAGUGUUUUAUCUGUGCUGGAUACAGAAAUAUCAAUAUCUCUGUAUUAGUAUGUGUGGUGCCCCUACCGGCACCCAUCUCUUGAUUCUUGGGAAGGUCACGGCCAGGAGAGCUCUAGAAAGAGUCACAGCAUGUUGUAUCCUUUCUGGCGGCCGCGCUGCACCUUUCUUAUACUCAGACCCAGGAAUUGGUCAAUGAUGGGAAACCACACAGAAAUGGCAGGUUCCCCAAACAACAAGAAACAGGAAGCUGAUAGAGCAUCACAAUCGCUUUAUUAUAAUUUCUACUGUGCCCAGCCUCAGGGCAUCAGCUCCUUCUGGAGUGCUGUGAAGGCUGGGUCGCACAGAGGAGCAUGCAGCUAUAGAGAUGGGGAGACAGGGCUUGGGGACGUUCCCCUCAGCUGACUGUCAAGUUACCUUCUUCAGAAAAGCACAUGGGAAGGGCAUGAAGGACCAGAGCACAUUGGAUUUCCCAGUGUUACUCAAGUGUUCUCAGAGUCCCUCUCACAAGCUUGGGUUUGGCUGGGAUACAGAUCACAGGCCAAUCCUUGAUGGCAGGAGGCUAAUCUUGAAGGCCUUUGUGUCACCAUGGCUAUGGAAAUGCCUGGCUACUUAUAACUUGAUAUUCUCAACUGUGGUCAUGCCUACCCAGUGCUAUAGAAACUGGAAGGUGACUGAGCUUCUUAGUCACUGGCCCAGACCAGAGCUGAGCCCCUUUCCAUGGGCCAUUGGGGCAGGUGGCCCAGAGGGAAAAAGCUUUUCCUUAGUGCUAGUAGAAAUUCUGUAAUCUGUUUAUUUUCUGUUCAAGGUUGCCAAAAAUAGUGGCAGCAGAAAAGCAACAGCAGAGAAAAUGCCCAGUCCCACCCCAUGCCAGGGCUGAGCCGUCAGGAACAGGCACGAUGCAUGAAUAUCCCCCACUCCAGGAGAUCUUGCCAUUGUCUGGGUUGCAGCCAGGGGCCCAGAGAGAUAUCCUGGGCAAAUUCAAACUAAGUGGUAGGAGAAAGUAGCAAUUUUUCAGAUAAGAGCAUGAAAUAAGGAAAAAAAAAAAGUAAAUAAAAAAGAAAAUAGGAAUUUUAUUUCACUGUAAAUAGAGGAGGUCUAAAAAGGGACUGUGGUGACAGGUGCUGCCAGGAUGUCCCGAAGUUCUGGCAUCAGAACUUUUCUGCCUUUUAGGGUCAUGUGUCUAUCUGUCUUCACUCUGACGGUCUGAAGGGAACAUGCUUGCAGGAUCACUGGAGCCAGCUACCAGUUCUCAGUCCUGCCUGAAGUUUCUCUUGGCUUUGGGGUGGCCCUGCCAGGCAGCUUCUGCUGAUCUUCCCUCUUGGCUUUUGGGCUUCCUGGCACCACUCUGACUGAAGCUGUGAAAGCUGCAAUGGUUGAGGUUGUGUUUUAGGCUAUGAGUCCUGGGUACAACCCUGGGGCUCACUCUCUAGUGAGGUGCCCUCUUCCCAGGCAGUUUAAUUCUGUCCUUUUCAUAAUGGUGACAGAAAUAAGGGGAUCCUAAGAAUUGGCCACUUAAGCAAGGUCAGAGUGACAUCCCAUAGGGAGCAGUAGAGCCAGAAAGGCUGGUAUCUGCCCUGCUAGCCCCAGGUGCUUGCACUGAGGGCAGAAAGAGGCAAUGUCCUCAUGGUUUCUACUGUGGCUGUCCUCAAAUGAAGAGGGGCACUUGAGGGUUAGAUCAGUACCUAUGAGUGAGGGGACUGCUCCAUCCCUGGGACACCCUAGGGGCCCUUGCUCAAGUGUUCUGUUGGGGAAGGCUGGGCUCAGGAGAGGAAGCCAAGGGGCAGACUUGGAGAGGUCUCGUGGCCAGGGCCACUGCCUCAGGUGACCCUUGGACCCCACAGCUCCACCGCAUCAUCCAGCUGCCUCUUCAUUCACAGCUGAACAUGGGGAAGAGGAAUGCCAGGUGAAAAAUGCUUAGGGAAAGUGGCCUUCAGAGGAGCCUAUCAGAAGUGGCCUACAGAGGCCUGUAACCCAGGCCUUCCUUGGUUGGAAACACUGAUCGUAAAUUUGGGUAGCCAAGAAGAAAAGACUGAAAUAUUUUCUCAUACCCUUAUUGGAGCCUGAUGCUAAUAUUUGGACUUGACAGAAUUUCAGAGAGUCACAGUGAUGGGAGAGCUUGGAAAGGAAAGGAAAUGGGCUUCACUAGGUUUCUGAACGUUUUUAACAUCUCUAUACAUAUCACAGAGAGGCUCUGGCAAUUAGGACAUGGCAAAGGGAGACUCUGGACAGGAGGCUGGGGCGGGGCUUCUGCAACUCUGGACUUGGGGAGCAAUGGCACUUCCCCUUUGGUAAAAAGCUAGAUGCCUGUGGAGAAGAUGCCAGCUGCUCCUUUGUGCUUUUCUGCUUCCUAGGACUCUUGUGGGCUGGGAAAUCUAUUCUUUGCUGGGGAAGUGCCCCAUGGAUCUCUGUUACAGGCCCUCACCCAGGAAGACUGCUGUUCUGGAACAGGAGAAGGGUGAUCCCAAAUGGGCCUGCACCUGUUGUGGAAGAACUCUGGGGGUGCUUUGCCAGGCCCUGGAAUAUGGCAGGCCUGACCUGGCCCACCAACUCUCCUCACUCACCAGCGGAGAGCUAGAGGCAGCAGCUCCAAAGAGUCCCAAAUAAUCCAACCCCAGCAGCUCACCAUCCUGCUUCCAGCUCAGGCAGUUCCUACAGGAGGAGACUACACAGGGCUCUCACCAAGCUCCUGGCUGCAACUCCCUGCUUUCCUCGAAACAUUCAGCACUGAGCGGUGUGUGCUUUCUUCCGUAUGCACCGGAUUUAGCACAAGGGCCUCGAGCAAUAAAGAUGUGUUUGCUUCUGCA
Non-coding RNA from Callithrix jacchus (white-tufted-ear marmoset), 8140 nucleotides. The record is from RefSeq and is a predicted model, not a curated record. Lineage: Eukaryota; Metazoa; Chordata; Mammalia; Primates; Cebidae.